AUGUUAUUGCAGGAUGGCCGAGUGUAGUAUCGUGGACGAAAGGCCUAAGAAAUAUCGGGCGAACUAUGAACAAUGUCGCGAGAGCCGAGGCGUCGUCGGGCCCAUCAAUGUGUCAUCGGUCUUUUCAAGUGCAUAGUUUCGUGGAAAAGACCUACGUGACCCUGGCCACGAGCGCCUGCAGAACACGUGUGCGGUGGGCCUAGGAAAAAGACAACAGAAUGCGGCAACGGCCAGAGCGUUAGUCGAAAAGCAGAGUGCGAGUCGAGGAGCCGAGUGCGAGCUGAGCGGAGACAGAGGUUGCGAGUGGCGUUGCCGAGAGAGUGUGGAUUGCGCUGUUUUCUGUGCGUUUGGCGUGAAUAGUUCAGACAUGCAAGAAAUUCCGUGUUGGAGAGCGAUGUUGCGAGUUCGAGUGCCUGGACCAUCUGAAGACCGGAACUGGUAUAGUUUAUGUCGUUGAUGAUAAUAAUUCCUCCACGACUCAGCAACAAGAGCUACUCUGGGUGAUGAGCUUAAUGGUGCUGUUGCGGCUAUUUUAAUUUUUCAACAAGGAUCCAAAUGGCGCCGUUGACGAAAUUCUUUCAUUAUAAACGUCAACGAUCAACAUCAGCCAUCAGGGAACGAAGAAGGUACGCUGUAACGUGUCUGAGUAAUUAUACCUCGAGGAGUACAUACAGUUAUGUAAUGAAGAUUCGUAUGUGAGUGUUUGUUUUCUUAUUUCUUUUCCCUUUGUUUCAUUUGAAUGGAUUUUUGUACUCAAAGAGCGAGUUGACUGUAUGGUGGAUGUAUCUAAUGGUGUUGUAGUUGACUGUAUGUUGUUCAAUAUUGCUAUGAAACUCUUCUGAUUCAUUGUCACUUAUACGAAGGAUGGAAGUAUACGAAAUUGAUAAAAUUAUUAAUAAUAUUUACGAAGAGAAAGUAAACUGUUGGAUAUAUGACAAAAUAAUUCUAUUUUAAAUAAGAGACUGGUCAGAGUGGUUAUUUUGUUUACAAAAUCAAACGAAUUUAAUGAAUGUAAUGGUAAGGAAGUAACUAUAAGUGGCUGUUAAACUAUUUUUAUGCUUGAAAAGUAAUUCGCAAAGUAAUGUAAAGCAGUACUACUGAGUUGUACAUAACCUCUUUCAGAAUUUGUUCUUAACCUCUUGCUUCAUAACUUCCUUAAUUAUACUCUUCAAACUUAUUGACUACUUCGAUGUUGUUACGAACAGAAACUGAUAAAAUAUUAAUCUUAAAUAUAGAUUGAAAUGAAAGCUUGUCAGGUAAAUAUAUAUAUAUAUAUAUAUAUAUGUGUACUACUUACUCAAACUAUGGAUCACAUAACCUAUACAAAAAAAAAAAAAAAAAUUAUUGUACACUAUAAAGCAAGAGGUUAAAUCUUUAAUCUGUUAAGAAUUAAAUUUUUUAUUGUAACUGCGAAAAUUAUAAAAGUACCAAGCGAA
Molecule: long non-coding RNA, 1436 nt
Organism: Bombus huntii
Lineage: Eukaryota; Metazoa; Arthropoda; Insecta; Hymenoptera; Apidae
Exons: 3
Source: RefSeq, a predicted model, not a curated record